GAAGAGGACACUGGGGCAUUUAACUGCCAGUGCCCAGCAGUCGUAGUUGAGUCCUGCUGAUGAAACAGAAAACCUGCAACCUGCCCUGUUUGCAGGCAGAACAGACAGUUAAAUAUAUCAGCCAAGGAACAGCAGGGGCUGGUAGCUGAAGUUUGGACAGUCGAGCCCGUAAAUGAUUUAUUCCACUCUGUUAAGCUUCCUGAAUCACAGAGAAGUUGUCAGAAAGAUUUUAGCCUCCGCUAUAGGAAGUCCUGCCCACCUUCUCCAGAUCUCUGUUCUCAUAGUCCAUCCUCUGGUUCCAGGUGGAAGAAUUCUAAAAUCACACAAGAAAAUGUAAGAUAUCUUCCUCGAAUAUCAACAGAGAAGAACAGCAGCCACGUGGAUAAGGCAGAGUUUGGGAAAUCCUGGAUUCCCUUAUCAUAAAGCAUCUUACAGUAACCUCAGAAAUGCAGAAGUUACUUGUAAUGGUGCUGUAGACACUGUACGAGAAAGUUUCACCUUUAUGAUCUAAUUUAAUUCUCACAAAAACCCUGUUAGGUAGGGUGUUAUUAUUUAAAUUUAAAUCAGAGGAAAAUGUAACAGGAAUUCUGCAACUUACAGUCAAAGAGAUAAUAAACAGGAGCAUCUGUGGUUUGAAA
RNAcentral lists this long non-coding RNA (638 nucleotides) under Homo sapiens (human). RNAcentral's name for it is "long intergenic non-protein coding RNA 2270". Lineage: Eukaryota; Metazoa; Chordata; Mammalia; Primates; Hominidae. The record is from RNAcentral.